UUGGAGGGCAAGUCUGGUGCCAGCAGCCGCGGUAAUUCCAGCUCCAAUAGCGUAUAUUAAAGUUGUUGCAGUUAAAAAGCUCGUAGUUGAAUUUCGAGACCGGCUUAUUGGUCGUGCUUUUGUACGUACUGGUAUAAUCGGUUUCUCCUUUCUGACGAACUAUAAUGCCAUUAAUUUGGUGUUAUAGGGAAUCAGGACUGUUACUUUGAAAAAAUUAGAGUGUUUAAAGCAGGCUCACGCUUGAAUACAUUAGCAUGGAAUAAUGAAAUAGGACGGACUGAUUCUAUUUCGUUGGUUUCUAGGAUCACCGUAAUGAUUAAUAGGGAUAGUUGGGGGCAUUAGUAUUCAAUUGUCAGAGGUGAAAUUCUUGGAUUUAUUGAAGACUAACUACUGCGAAAGCAUUUGCCAAGGAUGUUUUCAUUAAUCAAGAACGAAAGUUAGGGGAUCGAAGACGAUCAGAUACCGUCGUAGUCUUAACCAUAAACUAUGCCGACUAGGGAUCGGAUGAUGUUAAUUUUUUAAUGACUCAUUCGGCGCCUUACGGGAAAC
Molecule: ribosomal RNA, 549 nt
Filed under: uncultured Glomus
Lineage: Eukaryota; Fungi; Glomeromycota; Glomeromycetes; Glomerales; Glomeraceae
Description: SSU rRNA
Rfam family: Eukaryotic small subunit ribosomal RNA
Source: RNAcentral